UACAGAGGGUGCGAGCGUUAAUCGGAAUUACUGGGCGUAAAGCGCGCGUAGGCGGCUUUGCAAGUCGGGUGUGAAAUCCCCAGGCUUAACCUGGGAACUGCAUUCGAGACUGCAUUGCUAGAGUAUGGGAGAGGGAAGUGGAAUUUCCGGUGUAGCGGUGAAAUGCGUAGAUAUCGGGAGGAACACCAGUGGCGAAGGCGGCGAUCUGGGCAGACACUGACGCUGAGGUACGAAAGCGUGGGGAGCAAACAGG
This 253-nucleotide ribosomal RNA is filed under the name uncultured bacterium. RNAcentral describes it as "partial 16S ribosomal RNA". It matches the Rfam family "Bacterial small subunit ribosomal RNA", at positions 524 to 776 of the family's 1533-position model. The record is from RNAcentral.